CUGAAGAAUAUAGCUUAAAACUUUUUGACAUUUUGCCAUUCAACUGGCAUUAAUGGUAAAAAAUUUAAUUUUUGAUCAAUUUUUGAAAAUAGACAUGAUGAAACCCCUUAUAAAAAAAUGCGAAAAUCGUGUUAAAUAAUAUUUAAAAAUAACGAAUUUUUAAAAUGCGUAUGUCGGAAAAAGCAGCAUUAAAAAACAGUAUUCCUUUUGAUAUUUACUGCUAUUGCAAAGGAUUUAGCGGCAAAAAGGCCAAACUGGCCACACAGGCAGCAGCAAGGGCCAGCGAUCCGGGACUCAGACAGAGGACACACACAGAUGUGCAUCUGUGCACGCACACAGGCACAGGAUUGGAGAGCAGAGCUAAGGAGAAGGAGAAGGAGGAUGCUGACUCAGUCCAGUGGACGUUGGACAUAGACGCCUCCAGGCCUCCAGGAUGUGGGACUAGGAAUAACAUUUUUAUUUUUUCCGCAUUUCUCUGCCUCUUAACUAUUUAUGAGGUCGAGUUGUUUGUGCAGUUUGAUUAUUUUGCUGGCAGCAGAGCAACGGUAACCUGUGACUUUUCAUAAUUUAACAUUUUGGCAGCAAAAGAAAGGGACGGCGAGAGAGUGGGCGAUCGCAAAGGGAGUUGCCGGCGUGUGAGUGUAAAGAGAUCGCCUAGCUGCGGGAAUAUUUACUCGAAUAUAUGAAAUAAUUUUUUUUUUUAAUUAAAAAUUGCUUACUGCAACUGCAGAGUCAUAAAAAAAAAUGAAGGGGAGAUGCACACAACCAUAAACGAAAUCGAUUUUAUUUGUAUAAAUUGGAAUUGGUUUCAACACAGUUAUGAAUAAAAUGCAAAAAUCCCAAUAACAAUAACGAGCUGAAUGAAGGACGAGAACAGUGGACAUUGCUAACGAGAAUUAAAAUGUAGUCGGACGAUUCUAAACUUUCUUUUUGGACCAAUUUCUAAUGUAUUAGUUGCUUUUGAUGAGCAGAUAUAAGAAUUAAACUCGGAACUGAUAGGCUUCUUCUGCCAAUUGCAGGAUAAUACAAUAUUUAUAUAACCAAUUUCCACUGUAAUAAUCGAGAUGAAACCGCAAAGGAGGUUUUGUGGUUGCUGCUGUUGCAAAAGUAUUUUAUUGUGGCCAUCGAGGAAGCUGUUGUUAACUGUUGCCCAAUGAGAUGACGAAUACGAUGAUGAUAAUGAUGAUGACGACGGAGAGGGAGCCCGAUGCACCAGUUCCCCCCGAGCCGUUGCCAGCUUUAAUUAAAAAGUUACCUGGCAAAAAUGUUUUAGCUAUUUGCCUGGCAGCGAUGGCAACCUGACCUGACCCUCGCCCAACCUCUGAGCCACAGGAAUUUUUGCACAUAAAAAAAUAUUGAUUUGAAAUCAGGUGCACACAUAUGGACCAACCCAAUUUGAGGUAUCGAAGGAAUGUCGGAGCUUGUCAGACCCCCACUUCCAUUUCCCCGUGCUCCGGCCAGGUGACACAACAUUCCCAAGACGGAAUGCAGCCGGGUCCGGGAAAGUGCGUCAGGUGCGGUGUGUUUGAUGCGUGAAGCCGCGUAAAGUGGGAUGUGGAUGUUGGGAUCUGGGCUGUGGGAUGUGAUGCCAACCAGGCCAGAUCCCAGAUCCAUCUCAAUUACCUCGCCUUAACUCACUAGCGAAGCGAAGGGGGAAGCAGUUCAAGUUUGAGCUGUUCAGUUUGAGGUCGCUUAUGAAACUACUAUCUUGGCCAGAACUUGGCAUCGAAUUUGGCCCGCAUGUGCAGCCCCGACUGGAAGUUCAAGUUUGAGUGGUUCACCUGUGAAGGAGACUGCGAUUGAAGUUUUAAUGUUCGACGGUCCUGGCUGAAAGUUGAAGCAAUUACUCGUAAGAUAGAAAAUUUUUAGCAAACCAUAACUGGUUGGGUUAUGAUGAGAAAAUAUUACAUAUAUUCUGGUAUUUCAGAAGGUGAUUUCUGACAUUUGGACAAUAAUAAAUCAUCGAAAUUGUAGUAAACAACUUUAACAUAAAAAAAUGGCAUAAUUGAAGAAGCUCCUCUGCUUACAUUUCCUACAUUAG
Molecule: long non-coding RNA, 2041 nt
Organism: Drosophila elegans
Lineage: Eukaryota; Metazoa; Arthropoda; Insecta; Diptera; Drosophilidae
Exons: 3
Source: RefSeq, a predicted model, not a curated record